GUCCAGACUCCUACGGGAGGCAGCAGUGGGGAAUCUUCCGCAAUGGGCGAAAGCCUGACGGAGCAACGCCGCGUGAUCGAAUGAAGGCCUUCGGGUUGUAAAGAUCUGUUGACAGGGACGAAUAAGCAAUGCGAAUAGUUUUGUGUAUGACGGUACCUGUUUAGAAAGCUCCGGCUAACUACGUGCCAGCAGCCGCGGUAAUACGGAGGAUGCGAGCGUUAUCCGGAUUUAUUGGGUUUAAAGGGUGCGUAGGCGGAACAUUAAGUCAGCGGUAAAAUCGAGGGGCUCAACCCCUUUAAGCCGUUGAAACUGGUGAUCUUGAGUGGGCGAGAAGUAUGCGGAAUGCGUGGUGUAGCGGUGAAAUGCAUAGAUAUCACGCAGAACUCCGAUUGCGAAGGCAGCAUACCGGCGCCCGACUGACGCUGAGGCACGAAAGCGUGGGGAUCGAACAGGAUUAGAUACCCCAGUA
RNAcentral lists this ribosomal RNA (469 nucleotides) under uncultured bacterium. Its description in RNAcentral is "bacterial SSU rRNA". It matches the Rfam family "Bacterial small subunit ribosomal RNA", at positions 329 to 792 of the family's 1533-position model. The record is from RNAcentral.